AGUAUGAAGCAGCAGGGAGAGGGAGAAUGAAGUGUGCUUUCCACUUCUUCAGGUCCUUUCCUUGAUGAAUGGUCUGGAAAUGUAUAAAACAAGGGCAUAGGCAGACCAAGGGGGCACGUUCCACACAAUACUGAGCACAGCAUGUCACUUGUAUCACAUAUUAAACAUCGGUGAAUAUCUUUUUGAUGUUGACACAAGAGUUGGGAUUAUUGUUCGUGGUGCAGGUGGCAGUGGAAUUGCCCGUUUUGAAAGGGGUCUGGGGGAAAGCGCUAUGGUUCAUACCCCCCUCUUCGAUCACCAUAUACUCCGACUUACUCAGAGUCGAGUUACUCCUUGCUUUUCGGAGCUCCUCGGCUGAAGAGGAGAGGUGCUGGCAACUUCCCACGUGCAUGUACUGGGAUUGCUCUUCCCCUUCUGUCUCCCGGUGGUAGAAGUAAUUGAAGUUGGAAACAAUCACGGGAACUGGCAAUGCGAUGGUCAAGACACCGGCGAUGGCACAGAGAGAUCCCACAAUCUUGCCCCCUAUGGUCACUGGGUGCAUAUCGCCGUAACCCACUGUUGUCAUGGUUACCACUGCCCACCAGAAGGCAUCCGGGAUGCUGCUGAAACCUGAAGUGGGGUCGUCUGCCUCGGCAAAGUAGACCGCGCUGGAGAAAAGGAUGACCCCAAUAAAGAGGAAGAAGAUGAGCAAUCCCAGCUCCCGCAUGGACGCCUUCAGCGUUUGCCC
Molecule: long non-coding RNA, 727 nt
Filed under: Homo sapiens (human)
Lineage: Eukaryota; Metazoa; Chordata; Mammalia; Primates; Hominidae
Description: HSALNT0294641
Source: RNAcentral